UCUGCCCUAAGGUACGGGAUAAUCUCGGGAAACUGAGGAUAAUACCGUAUAUGUCUGGUAUGCUGGAACGCUUCCAGACGCAAAGGUGACGCCUUAGGAUGAGUCUGCGGCCUAUCAGGUUGUAGUGGGUGUAACGCACUUACUAGCCUUCGACGGGUACGGGCUUUGGGAGAAGUUGCCCGGAGAUGGAUUCUGAGACAUGAAUCCAGGCCCUAAGGGGCGCAGCAGUUACGAAAACUUGCCAAUGGGGGAAACCCCGAGCAGGGAACUCCAAGUGCCUGCACUAUGUGCAUGCUGUUCCCCCGUCUUAAAAACCGGGGAAGUAAGGGCUGGGAAAGUCGGGUGCCAGCCGCCGCGGUAAUACCCGCAGCCCGAGUAGUGGUCACUAUUACUGAGCCUAAAGCGUCCGCAGCCGGACCUGUAAAUCCUUGGGUAAAUCGAACGGCUAAAACCGUUCGAAGUCCGGGGAGACUGUAGGUCUUGGAACCGGGAGAGGCAAGAGGUACUCUGGGGGUAGGGGUAAUAUCCUGUAAUCCUCGGAGGACCACCAGUGGCGAAGGCGUCUUGCUUGAACGGAUUCGACGGUGAGGGACGAAGCCCUAGGGCGCAAACGGGAUUAGAUACCCCGGUAGUCUAGGGUGUAAACGCUGCGGGCUUUCGCUUAGAGUGUUUACCUUCGCGGAUGCCCGGUGCCGGAGAGAAGUUGUUAAGCUAGGCCCACUUGUACGGUCGCAAGACUGAAACUUCAAGGGCCCUAAGGAGCACCGCAACGGGAGGAGCGAGCGGUUCAAUUGGAUUCAACAGCCGG
Molecule: ribosomal RNA, 808 nt
Filed under: uncultured archaeon
Lineage: Archaea
Description: bacterial SSU rRNA
Rfam family: Archaeal small subunit ribosomal RNA
Source: RNAcentral